UCUAAAAAUGCAACAUAGGCAAAAGCAUGUAUUGACCGGACAAACUAUAACAAACGAACGUGAAAGGUAAACGUUAACUGUCGGAUCCCGUGGGUGAUUUGGAAAGGAAGUUCAGGGAUACAGGUCGGCUCAGAUGUAGGCUACAUUUCAAUUCCGGGGAAGACCUCUGAGGACAAUGAAACAACCAGCGGCAAACCAACCAGCAGCCAAAACCCCCCUAUUUCAACUCCAACCGAGAGAGAAAAAUGAAGAUGAGACCAGACAGAAUGCCAGUACCCCAUUGGGAUACAACUCUUUCUCUCAAAAUCUUAUUUCUGGUGAGUAGAUAAAUUGAGUUGGAGGACCGAUUGAAACUGGAAUCGGCCAGUACUCAGUGCUCCUCUCUCCAGGAGAUGUGUUCUAAUUAGACAGUAUGGCUGACGUCUGACUGAGAAGAAUAACAAGCUGAAGCCCCAUCCAGAGACCUCCUCCCAUGAACUUAGCUGCUUUGUCUAAGCAAACCAAUAUGCCAGCUUGCUGUAUAAACAAAACCCAGGCUGGAAAGCUGCACCUGAAGGGCUUCUCUAUAUCUGCUGGGCUUUGAUGUGGAUGGAUAAUGAUAGAGAGUAAAACAUCAUACCAUGCACAAGGCUGAAGUACAACUUCUAGAGACGUUGAGUGUUGCUGGAAAUUACAUGACAUUCGACUUACCUACUCAUGAAAGUCAUGAUAUUAAUGUGAUCAUUAGCUGUAAUGUUAGUUUAAUGACAUAAGCAAUAUAAAACUGCCACAAAGUCACAGGCCCUGACAGUUAGCAUACUGGUACUUUAAGAUACAGGUAUUUCUGUUGUACAUUACAAAUGGCGGGUCAACUUAUGUGAGUGCUGACAAAACAGCAGGAUUAUAUACCAUGUUUUAAUGCAGUGGUUCUUAAAGCUGGGUUAGCGACCCCCUGAGUGGUCACCAGAUGAUUUUGGUGGGUCACAAGUUGAU
Molecule: long non-coding RNA, 972 nt
Organism: Esox lucius (northern pike)
Lineage: Eukaryota; Metazoa; Chordata; Actinopteri; Esociformes; Esocidae
Exons: 3
Source: RefSeq, a predicted model, not a curated record